GCGUUCGUAGCUCAACUGGAUAGAGCGUCUGACUUCGGAUCAGAAGGUUGAGGGUUCAAAUCCUUCCGGGCGCA
RNAcentral lists this transfer RNA (74 nucleotides) under Candidatus Pelagibacteraceae bacterium. Its description in RNAcentral is "tRNA-Arg". It matches the Rfam family "tRNA". Rfam says of the family: Transfer RNA (tRNA) molecules are approximately 80 nucleotides in length. Their secondary structure includes four short double-helical elements and three loops (D, anti-codon, and T loops). The record is from RNAcentral. Lineage: Bacteria; Pseudomonadati; Pseudomonadota; Alphaproteobacteria; Candidatus Pelagibacterales; Candidatus Pelagibacteraceae. RNAcentral also lists the same sequence under 1 other name.